Molecule: unclassified non-coding RNA, 245 nt
Filed under: uncultured bacterium
Lineage: Bacteria
Description: contains 16S-23S intergenic spacer region
Source: RNAcentral
ACGGCCAGUCGGUCGUCAUGCGGCUGCUGGACAAGGACAACAUCAAAGUGGGGGUGCGACAGCUCGGCCUGUCCGAGGAGAACUAUCAGACCUUCCUCAACCUCAUUCGCCGCCCGAACGGGAUCAUCCUGGUGACGGGGCCGACCGGCUCCGGAAAGACCACCACCCUCUACUCGGCCCUGAAUUUCCUGAACCGGCCGGACCGGAAAAUCAUUACCGCGGAGGACCCGGUCGAGUACUACCUG